GAUGAACGCUGGCGGCGUGCCUAAUACAUGCAAGUCGAGCGAACGGACGAGAAGCUUUCUUCUCUGAUGUUAGCGGCGGACGGGUGAGUAACACGUGGAUAACCUACCUAUAAGACUGGGAUAACUUCGGGAAACCGGAGCUAAUACCGGAUAAUUUUUUGAACCGCAUGGUUCAAAAGUGAAAGACGGUCUUGCUGUCACUUAUAGAUGGAUCCGCGCUGCAUUAGCUAGUUGGUAAGGUAACGGCUUACCAAGGCAACGAUGCAUAGCCGACCUGAGAGGGUGAUCGGCCACACUGGAACUGAGACACGGUCCAGACUCCUACGGGAGGCAGCAGUAGGGAAUCUUCCGCAAUGGGCGAAAGCCUGACGGAGCAACGCCGCGUGAGUGAUGAAGGUCUUCGGAUCGUAAAACUCUGUUAUUAGGGAAGAACAUAUGUGUAAGUAACUGUGCACAUCUUGGCGGUACCUAAUCAGAAAGCCACGGCUAACUACGUG
RNAcentral lists this ribosomal RNA (497 nucleotides) under uncultured bacterium. Its description in RNAcentral is "partial 16S ribosomal RNA". It matches the Rfam family "Bacterial small subunit ribosomal RNA", at positions 28 to 507 of the family's 1533-position model. The record is from RNAcentral.